RNAcentral lists this ribosomal RNA (315 nucleotides) under uncultured soil bacterium. Its description in RNAcentral is "bacterial SSU rRNA". It matches the Rfam family "Bacterial small subunit ribosomal RNA", at positions 26 to 371 of the family's 1533-position model. The record is from RNAcentral.
AGAACGAACGCUGGCGGCAUGCCUAAUACAUGCAAGUCGAACGAACACUUCGGUGUUAGUGGCGCACGGGUGCGUAACGCGUGGGAAUCUGCCCUUGGGUUCGGAAUAACAGUUGGAAACGACUGCUAAUACCGGAUGAUAUCGAAAGAUCAAAGAUUUAUCGCCCAGGGAUGAGCCCGCGUAGGAUUAGCUAGUCGGUGAGGUAAAGGCUCACCAAGGCGACGAUCCUUAGCUGGUCUGAGAGGAUGAUCAGCCACACUGGGACUGAGACACGGCCCAGACUCCUACGGGAGCAGCAGUAGGGAAUAUGGACAA